RNAcentral lists this ribosomal RNA (591 nucleotides) under Triticum aestivum (bread wheat). Its description in RNAcentral is "partial small subunit ribosomal RNA". Lineage: Eukaryota; Viridiplantae; Streptophyta; Magnoliopsida; Poales; Poaceae. The record is from RNAcentral.
AUGAUCAAGAUCGUGGUUACGUUGUGGGCUAUAUGGUCGGCCAGGCGCAAAGCAAUACAUGAAGGUGUGCUGCAGAGUCCACAUGCUACGCAUGCGUUUAUAACUAAUUAUAUUUAUGAGUUGAAUUCAGUACAGUUGCAUAGAAGGGACACUAGGCAGGAGACGCCACAUGAAAUUUCAAGGCCAACAAGCACAAACAGAUGGUAUGUGCCUGGUAACGGUGAAGCAAAGAUUCAAGUGGAUGGUGGCCUAACAAGGGAUGGUACAAGGGGUGCUGCGGCUGCUGUAUGCCGUGAUCAUACGGGAAAUUUUCUGGGAUCUUCGGCUAUGGUUUUCAGCGGAAUAACAGACCCAAUGACUCUUGAAGCACUAGCAUGCCGAGAAGCGUUGGCCCUUGCUCUAGAUUUGUCUCUGACUAGAGUGGUCAUUGCUUGUGAUUGCAAAUCAGUGGUGCAAGAGAUAAAAGGUGGCACGGAAGGAAGAUACAGUGCGAUCAUUAAGGAAAUCUCAGAACGUUCGAGAGAACUCACAAGUUGUAAAUUUAUCUUUGAAGGCCGUAGUUUAAAUUUUGAUGCACACAAAUUUAGCUAA